AUGAUCCAGGCCCUGGGGAUUCCUCGGCCCCUGGGAGCAGUUAGAAAAGUACCCGCACUGUUAUCUCGUGUGUCUCCUCUCUCUCACAUCAGUGAGACACGAGUGAACACUCAACUGAUCACUCUCUUGAGGCAUUCAUGUACUCCGCAAACACUGUCUGGGACCUGGAGGUGCAGGCUUUGGUUUUUUUGUUGUGAGGCACUAGCUCCUGAUCUGGGAUCAAAGCCUGCGUUGGAAGGGGAAGUCUUAACCAGUGGACAACCAGUGAAAAGAAAGCGAAAGCGAAAAUCGCUUUCAUGUCCGACUCUUUGGGACCCCAUGGAAUAUACAAUGCGUGGAAUUCUCCAGGCCAGAAUACUGGAGUGGAAAGCCUAUCCCUUCUCCAAGGGAUCUUCCCAACCCAGGGACCGAAGCGGGGUCUUCUACAUUGCAGGCAGAUUCUUUACCAACUGAGCUAUCAGGAAAGCCGGACUGCCAGGGAAGCCCCUAAAGUUGUCUUUAGAUAUUCGUAGCAAAUUCCUUUCAACCACACCUGGGUUUAUGUUAAUGAGGUGACUCGGAAAGCCUCUAAGGAUGAAAGCUGUUUGACAGGGGAACCAACUACGUGAUUGGAGGGGUGUAACUUAGCUGUCUCCCUGAACUCCAGGAAGGCGAGAGGGGCUGGAGAUUGAGUUCAAUUACUAAUGGCCAAUGAUUUAAUCCAUAGUGCUUAUGUAAUUAAUGAAGCCUCUAUAAGAACUCAAAACGAUGAGGUUCAGAGAGUUUCCAGGUUGGUAAACGUGGAGGUGCUGGCAGAGUGGUUCCUUGGAGAAGGCAUGCAAGCCCCUUCCACAUACCUCGUCCCGAGUACUUCAUCUGACUCUCAUCUGUAUCCUUUAUAAUAUCCUUUAUAAUAAACUGGUGAACCGAGAGCCACUCUAGUAAGUUAAUUGAACCCAAAGAGGGGCUCAUGGGAAUCUCCCCUUGCUGGCCACUCAGAAGCACAGGUGACAACCUGGACUUGAGAAUGGCAUCGAAGGGGGGCAGUGGGCACUUAGCUUGUGGGAUUUAAUGCUAUCUCCAGGUAGACAAUGUCAGAAUGGAGUGAAUUGCUCGGAGGUGUCAGAAAACACACGCUGGAUGGAGAACUGAUGACAAGGCGGGCCUGGCCACAGGGAGCUGGAGAAAUGACAAGAAGCCUUCUGUCUAAAAGAUCUAUUCUUACCCAGUCGAGGGACUUAGGCUCAGUCCUUUGCGAACUGGGGGGCCAUGCAGGUGUUUUAACAGGGAAUGGAGGUAGUCGAUUUGUCUCUUGAAUUAUGAUUAAUGCGCCAUUAAAAUAGCCCCUUUGAUGACAUCAUAAACCAGGAAACUUAGAGCACAAACCACAAGCAGAUUAGAUAAAGGGCAGGUACAAUCCAAACUCAGACAAAGCCACGUCUGAAUCCUGCUCCCCUUCUCACCUGCUGGGGUGAGUCACCUGGCUCUCUGAGCCAUGCUUGCUCUCCUGGAGUGGGGCUGACGUGAAACACCGCCCGUGGAGGCCCUGAGCAUAGAUCUGUAUCCACCUGAAAAGAAACCUCCCAGAUAUAUUAUCAGUCCAAAAGUGAAGUGGCAGAAGAAUACGUAUGAGACAAAUACAAGCCAAAAUGCAGAGAAAAAAGUUAGCAAGAUUCACACCAAAUUGAAAACAGCGAUUCCUUCUAGAGAGGUAGAAGAAAACCAAGACUGGAGUUAGAGAUCAAAGGAAGAUUUAGCCUCAUCUGUAAAGUUUUAUUUUCUUUUUUUUACACAGAAAAUGUAUUCCUAUACUACUUGUGUAUUUAAAAAUUAAUUUUAAAAUAACCUAACAAAAGUCCUUGACAGUGAGAAGAUAUUUGAUCAGUAUUCCCUCCUGCUUGCUCUCACAGUGAGAUUUGGGGCCUUUCCAGCCCCAUUUCCCAAUUCCAACCCUAGGUGAAGGCCGGCCUGUCAUAGUCACUCAACAAAUAUUUGUGGAAGACCUUUCUGAUAAGGUAGUAGGUCUCUUGCAAGUGGGUUAAAGGUCUCCCUUGGUGAACCUGAGACCCCACAGUCUCCCCCAGAGACCACCUGAGGCACUCAAUCCUCAGUGUCCCCAUCCUGCCCAGGACACUGCCCUCCCUCUGGCCUUCUGGUAGACCCUCGGCUCCAUGGGAAGUUCCACUCUGCCUCCUCUCUCCUGGCCUCAGAGCUCCUGGCUGGCAAAGUAGAGAGAUGCCGGCUUCCACUGCCUUCCCAAAGAAAGGCUGGGGUCACCCCUGGCCACCAAAAGGCCCUGUCCAGUGAAGAAAACCUUCAGAAGUGGGUGCCCUUGCUGAGGGCUGAGAGGACAAGAGAGACUUCAUUUUCCACUGUGAACCCCCUUUCCUGUCUGAAUAUCUUUUUAAAUAGUUACUUUUUAUAUUAAAUUAUCACUGUUUCUUUAAAUAAUCAAUUUGUGAAAACAAAAACAUCUCACAAAAACUAAUCCUAUUUUGAAAACCCUGACUGAGGCCAGAUUAGAGUCUUUGAUCAAUGUAGACUUGAAUGGAGUCAGGGCCGAAAAAGCAGUGGUCUUUUGAUGAAUGGGGUGACUCUUCUGGAGCGGAAGCUAGAGUUAAUGUCUCCUUCAUCCAAAAUACCUGAACACUGAGACUUCCCUGGUGAUCCACUGGUGGAGACUAUAUGCUUCCAAUGCAGGGGGUCUGGGUUUCAAUCCCUGGUUGGGGAACUAAGAUCCCAGAUACCAUGGAGCACAGCCAAAAAAAAAAGACAAAAAACCAACAACCCACUGACUAGAGCUCAGUGAGGAUUUCUUUCAUUUACACUUACGUAUUUAUUUUAUUUUUUUAGGAUUUCUUGGAUUUAACUCACAUGGGAAACCAUGUCUCGGGUCUGCUAAAAAUGUACUUGCUUUGGAAAGGAGGAGAGAAAAUGAGAGGACAGAAUGAAUUCGCAGAGCAAGGAAAGGGCUUGGUUAUCCUUCAGAUCUUUUCACUUCACCAUGAGACCGGAGGGGCGGAUGGGACUUGGUAUCCAGCUAAACCCAGAUCCAAGGCAGGGGGAAUUCACAUAUGACCACUGGAUAAACACUCACCCCCUCAACUAUCCCGUGAGGUGGGCAUUCUCUCCAUUUUGCAGAGCAGGAAACGGCGAUUAUGGUGGGAAAUUAGACAGCCCCAAGGUGACUCAGACAGGUAUCAGCUGAACUAGGCUUGGGAUUCUGACCUCUGACUUCAAAGCUUUCUCUUCCACCUUUGACCUCACCUCUCAUCAUGCAGCUCUUGGGGUUCCAGUGAGCCCGAUUUUCAUCUGAUUUUUCUCCGUUGGAAUACAUGAACCUUGCCAGAGGCACAUUAUUAUUGGGCUUACCUAUAUUCACCACUAUUUGGGGGGCACUAUACACUCCUGCGUGGGAGGAAUUUCAGCCUUGUGCACUAGUCAAUCAUCAGCUUGAGUGAUGAGUGAACAACUGGAGAUCCAUGAUUUACAGAUGAAGAGGCUGAAGCUCAGGGAGCUGAAGGGAUUUACUUCAGUUACCUGGGAGUCGCACCCAGAGCCUUCCAGGGUUCCCUUUCUGUUUCCUCCUCAGAGUCAAGGUUGGCUUACCACCCAGCCCACCACCAGCCUACCCUGAGGAAACAGCUCCACCCUCAGCCAGGAGAACAGCCCCAUCUGCUCCCUGGGUGUCCCACACACCACGACACACAGUCAUGCCCGGGCCACACAAAGGCCUCCCCAAGUCCCCAGGUUCAGUCAAGGGGCAGGGAUGGAGGGAAGGGCCAUGGGGGAUGAAGCCGCUGGGAGACACCCGAGGUGCAGGCCCCACCCAGCCCCAAGCCACGCCACAGACUGCGGAAGAAAGGGUCCAGGUGAACUCCAGGCCAGAAAGAGAAGAGGAAGACGCCCAGGUGAUGCUGAGUCACCAAGCCGGUGCAGCUGACUGCUGCCGGCAGAAGGGAGCACCGAGUUGAGUGGGACCUCAGCCCCGUGAGCUUCUC
Long non-coding RNA from Capra hircus (goat), 3980 nucleotides. NCBI's taxonomy places the organism in Eukaryota, Metazoa, Chordata, Mammalia, Artiodactyla, Bovidae. The record is from Ensembl.